RNAcentral lists this unclassified non-coding RNA (3837 nucleotides) under Hevea brasiliensis (rubber tree). Lineage: Eukaryota; Viridiplantae; Streptophyta; Magnoliopsida; Malpighiales; Euphorbiaceae. The record is from RNAcentral.
GUAAGAACUCUUUAUAUGGAUUCAAUUCACAAACUGAUUAGUUUAUUGUUGAAUCUAACAAUUAGAACCAUCUUUUUCACAAUCUUGAAAGUUCAUACACAUCCAGGUAGAGAGGUGAAUAAAUUCAAUGGGACACGAAGAAUAAUGUCAUUGACCCCGUUGGCAUUUAGGUCAUUUGUUACUUUAUAGUACAUCUUGCUUCAUUGUUAUCAUUCUUCUGUGAAUUCAGAAUUCUUUAACUAGUCCGAUUUGUGCCUUUGACGCUUAAAGAGGCAGUAGAAUAUUGACAGCAACCAUUGCCAAAUGCGGAUUACCAAAUUUGUGUGCUUAGGUUUUGGCUGUGGUGGUGGUCCGAAAAUUCCCUUGUAUAUCUCCUUUUGUUUUUGAUAUACAGCCUUUUCAUGUUGAGCUAUCAAACGCAUCUCCCUCGCAAUUGCCUUGUCUUCAGGUGCAAAUUUACGUGCCUUUUGAAAAUCUUCACGGGCAGCAUCUGUUUGCCCAAGUUCUGCUCUGGCCUUUCCCCUUCUGAACAGUGCUUUUACAUUGUUUUCAUCCUCUCCUAAUACAAUACUGCAUUGCCCAAUGGCUUCUUCAUAGCGUUUAAGCUUUAUCAGACAUGCUGCCAUGUUAAGGUGGCAAGGAUUCUUAACUGCCAAUGCCAUGUCCCGAUAUUUGCCAAACAAUUGGAACAUGAAGUCAUCACCCAAAUAAGCAAUGGCCAUUUCAUAUUGUUGCAUGGCCUCCUCAAGUUUCUCCUCUUUAAAUAAAGCAUUUCCAUCCAUUUUUCUUCGAUCUGCUGCUCCAAUCCUCUCUUCGGCAGUCAUGUCACCACGAGCUUUCCCUUCUUUGGUUUCAUCAAAACCAAUAAGCUCAACUUCAUAUAUUAUAUCUGCCAUUGGUGGAACAUUUGGGAAAGAAAAGCUCCCUUCUUUCCCAUAUCCUAAUUCCCAGCCCACUUGUAGAAGGGCACGUUCACCAGCCUUCAUAUUGGACACACCAAUAGCUAAACCCGCCAUUUCUUUCUUCUCUGUCACAUUCAUAACUCACCAAUGUUUAGUUAUACAUAAAACAACAGGAAAGCAUCUACAAAACAGUAUGAUUACAAAUUUAACAAGGAUAUAACAAGUAUAAUGUAUCUAUAACAAUGUAAAACCAUAUAACCACAUUCUUUCAUUAGAUUCCUGUAAGAUAAUAUUUUUCAGGUAUUGUGAAACCCUUCCGUGCUUGAGUCAAUUAACGCAAUCAAAACCACACAAAUAUAAAGGCAAAUGGUCUAGUUUGUGAGUUUGGACCCCAUUCAUUCAUAUUGAUCACUGACAAAGUAAAUAACACUAAAGAGAGUUACUUGAUGUCAUAGGGCGCAAGAAGAUCAUGGAUGGCAAUUACAGUACAAAAAGAGCAUAAUUAAACCAAAAGCAAAUAAAGAUCAAAAUUUUCAUGCCAGCUUUCUGAAGAAAGAAGAAAUACAAUUUAUUGAAAGACUACAAAUGAAAAUAAGAAUGAAAUAGGUAUAUACCUUUUCCUAUAAUCAUUUCAACUGGUCGCAGUUCAUGCCAUGUAUCAUCAAAUUUGUGCUGGGUGCUUUCAGUCCAUGCUCUGUAGUGCACUAUUGUGCUCAUGCAGUUACAGAUUUUUAGGUUCCAGAAUACAUUGAAGAAUCCACAUUCAUAAAAUAAGUUCCCAGAAACAGAAUGUGCAUGUAUGCAACACAAAAGGCAUGCAUAAUAAUAGCAAGUAGGUGGAUGGGUCACUAUACUAUAGACAGUACACUGUACUUCACAAAAGAAAGUAACACAAAAUUAACAUGUUCUGAAGUUAAUAGAUGAGUAAGAGAAGAAGUCAACCACGAAGAACUGCUAGUACUCUAAUUCAUAUUAUGACCAACUAAUUAAAAUCACACUAGUACCCCCUAGAAAUACAUAACUGCUUUAACAAUCUGGAGUCUGGACCCUUCACCUUGCAGUACUAACAUCCUAUAGUUGACAAGGGCAUGAAUGUUGCACAUACCAAAGUAAGUGUACAUAUUGACAAAGUAGGAGCAUCCUAUAUGCAGAAACAACCAACAACAAGAACUUUUCAUGCCCAUCCAACAUCGACAUCUAAAAAAUCAGAUGGCUAUUUUGCUCAAGGAAUAAAACCCUCUCAAUGAAAUUUCUACAAAAUUUCAACAUUAUGAAAGAUAUGCGAUAGCAACACCUUCAUAAUCAUGCAGGAAAUUAAAAAAGAAAUCUUCAGUAAGCCCUUAGACACAGAAUAAUUUAUCAAGGGAAUCUGGUUAAGAUUCAAAAAAUAAUCUUGAUAACAUGACUUGAAACCAUCAUCAAUACAUGAAAAUGUAGCACCUUAAAAACAUAGCAAAAAAGUUUAUAGAUCAAGUCUUCAAUACAAUGGUAUGAUUCUAUGCCUUUACUACCCAUUAGCUGUGGAUACAAGAAUUCCUAGUUUGUCAGUCAUGCAGACAAGUUGUCACCAACAAGUAAAUAGCAAUAUCUUAAUGCUUCAAAGCAUCAAUAAAUGCUGUUUGGUACUCACAGAAGCAUGUUGAAUAUUUGGUUGGCUUCUGGCCAUGUCCUUCCUUAAUGAUUUGUUUAGUGACUUUCUCAUGUAGGAUUUCAACCUCAGAAUCAACUGUUGGGGGACCAUCACCAACUUGAGGAGGAUCACUAUGCACAAAAGCAGCGUUUUCAGUAACUAUUUCAUUUUCAUCUUCUUGGCCUGCUAAGAGUACAGGAUAUGAACAACUAUUGAGUAUCAUGGUGUUUCAACUAAAGAGGGACCAACGCAAAUGUUGCUUCUACCCCCAUAAAAUGAUUACAGGGAAAAACCAAAGAAAAAAAAAAUUAAGAGGGUUAUGUAUCUCAUUUCAAUUUCAUUUAGAGGUAAGUCAUUCACCUUAUUUUUAGGGAAGUAGCCAACUUUUGUGGAGAGAACAUUAACAUAAAAUUCACCAUCCAAUUCAGUUCAGAUAGCAAAAGGAAAUAAUUCAGCAAACACAAGCUAUUGUCUGCUUGUGAAUCUUAGCCCUUGGAUCACUAGAUGAAGAUUCAUGCAUAUGAAAGUACAUAAGAAAAGAAACAUUAUACAACAGUAAAUUGGCUUUAGAAUUGACCAUGAGGACAAUAUUUGCAAGAGAAUUCAACAUGAAAGUUACGUCAAAACUUCUCCAAGUUUUAUAUACACAUUCCUAAAAAGAAGGUCUAAUUAGGUUUAGGAAGCCAAUCGUCACUUCUACUGCUACAUUUUGCUAUGCCUUAAAUCAUUAACACCUAUCAAAAUUUCUGCAUACUGAUAAAAAUACAGCUCCCUAAAACAUUCCAAUUUGUCCCCCAGUCAAACUGCCUCAUCAAAUUGAUAAAUCACAUUAAACGCAAUACACAAAAAGCUGUGAAUCCUUAUUCAUGCUGAUGAUUGCUAAACAAAUUCAAUUACUGCUUGCACACAUAUGCAUAUAGUUUAUUAAGAAGUUCAUAAUAAAAACAAAAUAUAUUACCGAUCGGUUCACUUUGCUGCUCUUGAACAACCUCCAUUACUCAGAAAAACCUUCCACUAGAAUUUUAAACUGACACCACGAGAGAAAACGGUGAUUUCACUACUUAGAAGAGUUGACUCUCACUCCUUGACACCUCAACGAAGCCAAAAAAGCAUAGAAAAAUGAAAGCACGAAAUUUUCUUCAUCAAAAAUUUUCUCGGUAAACAAACAGAAAGAGAAAAGAGGCAUCAUUGAGUUACUUACUUAGGAUCUGGAGAGCUUCUUGGAGAGACAGGCUAGCGGUAGAGAGAGAGACAGCAAACGAAUGUGUUUGUUUUGUAACGAUCGAAGAAGAUUCUGGAGAGAGA